This 514-nucleotide long non-coding RNA is filed under the name Homo sapiens (human). RNAcentral's name for it is "non-protein coding lnc-CACNA1E-4:1". Lineage: Eukaryota; Metazoa; Chordata; Mammalia; Primates; Hominidae. The record is from RNAcentral.
AAAAGAGAAAAAAUACAGACUGGCUGAAGCCAAAAUAAAGCUAUGGGCUCACAUAACUGAAAAUUCCAGGGAUAAUUUCACAUCAGACACAGUUAGGUCCUGGGGUUCAAAGAGUGUUCUCAGAAUCCAGUCUCCUUGUAGUCAUCUCUUGUCUUUGUGUUCCUCUGUCUUGGCUCCUUUCACAGAUAGAUUGUACCCCCACUCUGACUAUAUGGCUGCCUACAGCUCCAAGCUUCCACUCUAUCCUCUUACCAAUCCGCAGUGGAAAUAACUUGCAUCUUUUCCUAAAGUUCCAAUAAAAAUCCUAGAAUUGGGUCUAAUUGCUUUUGAUGAUCUUGGCUUGGGCUAUGUCUCUGGCGGGGUGGAGUCAACCCCACUGAAACCACAUGAACUCGGAGAAGGAACCUGCAAUUCCCUCUGUUGAGUCAGGGUGCUUUUAUUAGAGAAAGGGCAAGUGAUCCCUGGGAAAAUGAAAAUGAUCAAUCUCUGAUAUGCAGAUAAUUUGGGAACAAAC